GUUUAUGUAAUUUUGCACUGCCAUUAAUGGUUUAAUAUUUUAUUUCACUCACAGAUUCACGGCUAUUGAGCAGUGCUUUACCGACACAAUUCAUCGACCUCCUGCAUCCAGCCCUUCAUCGACCUUCUGCAUCCAGCUCUUCAUUGACCUUCAGCAUUGUUCCUGUGUCCAGCAUCUUCAAGACAGGCUAAUUUUCUUAUUACAUUUAUUAUUAGGGAUUAGAGGGAAGUAUUAGAUUGGGUUUAGAUUAGAUAUAUAUAAUUUAUUUUAGCUUGUUGGGCUAGUGUAGGGUUGUAGUUAUAAAGACAGAAUAUUUUUUUUCAAAGCAUUUGUAAUUUCAUAUUAUUGAAAUUAACAUACUUUGUGAGUUUCUCUGUUUAGGCAUCCUUCACAGGUUCUGGAUUUUCACGGCCGGCUUGUGACGACCAAGGCAGGCCAACGUGUGACGAGCAAGACCUAGGCAGGCCAACGUGUGACGAGGAAGACCAGCGUCCGGUAAAAUAUUUUU
This is a long non-coding RNA of Hippoglossus stenolepis (Pacific halibut), 508 nucleotides long. RefSeq lists it as uncharacterized. The transcript has 4 exons. The record is from RefSeq and is a predicted model, not a curated record. Lineage: Eukaryota; Metazoa; Chordata; Actinopteri; Pleuronectiformes; Pleuronectidae.